UGCAAGUCGAGCGGAAACGGCAGUAUUGAAGCUUCGGUGGAUUUACUGGACGUCGAGCGGCGGACGGGUGAGUAACGGCUGGGAACCUGCCCUGACGAGGGGGAUAACCGUUGGAAACGACGGCUAAUACCGCAUAAUGUCUUGAUUCGUUAGAGUCAGGACCAAAGGUGGCCUCUACAUGUAAGCUAUCGCGUUGGGAUGGGCCCAGUUAGGAUUAGCUAGUUGGUAAGGUAAUGGCUUACCAAGGCAACGAUCCUUAGCUGGUUUGAGAGGAUGAUCAGCCACACUGGGACUGAGACACGGCCCAGACUCCUACGGGAGGCAGCAGUGGGGAAUAUUGCACAAUGGGGGAGACCCUGAUGCAGCCAUGCCGCGUGUGUGAAGAAGGCCUUCGGGUUGUAAAGCACUUUCAGCAGUGAGGAAGGUCGUGUACUUAAUACGUGCACGGCUUGACGUUAGCUGCAGAAGAAGCACCGGCUAACUCCGUGCCAGCAGCCGCGGUAAUACGGAGGGUGCGAGCGUUAAUCGGAAUUACUGGGCGUAAAGCGCAUGCAGGCGGUUUGUUAAGUCAGAUGUGAAAGCCCGGGGCUCAACCUCGGAACCGCAUUUGAAACUGGCAGGCUAGAGUCUUGUAGAGGGGGGUAGAAUUUCAGGUGUAGCGGUGAAAUGCGUAGAGAUCUGAAGGAAUACCAGUGGCGAAGGCGGCCCCCUGGACAAAGACUGACGCUCAGAUGCGAAAGCGUGGGUAGCAAACAGGAUUAGAUACCCUGGUAGUCCACGCCGUAAACGCUGUCUACUUGGAGGUUGAGGUUUUAGACUUUGGCUUUCGGCGCUAACGCAUUAAGUAGACCGCCUGGGGAGUACGGCCGCAAGGUUAAAACUCAAAUGAAUUGACGGGGGCCCGCACAAGCGGUGGAGCAUGUGGUUUAAUUCGAUGCAACGCGAAGAACCUUACCUACUCUUGACAUCCAGCGAAGCCUUUAGAGAUAGAGGCGUGCCUUCGGGAGCGCUGAGACAGGUGCUGCAUGGCUGUCGUCAGCUCGUGUUGUGAAAUGUUGGGUUAAGUCCCGCAACGAGCGCAACCCUUAUCCUUGUUUGCC
This 1100-nucleotide ribosomal RNA is filed under the name Salinivibrio costicola subsp. alcaliphilus. RNAcentral describes it as "bacterial SSU rRNA". It matches the Rfam family "Bacterial small subunit ribosomal RNA", at positions 56 to 1119 of the family's 1533-position model. The record is from RNAcentral. Lineage: Bacteria; Pseudomonadati; Pseudomonadota; Gammaproteobacteria; Vibrionales; Vibrionaceae.